Molecule: long non-coding RNA, 1751 nt
Organism: Rosa rugosa (rugosa rose)
Lineage: Eukaryota; Viridiplantae; Streptophyta; Magnoliopsida; Rosales; Rosaceae
Exons: 5
Source: RefSeq, a predicted model, not a curated record
UCGCACGGGGCGCGCUCUCUCUCUCUCUCUCUCUCCUUCUCUCUUUCACUCUGGAAAGCACGACUUACGGCCAUCGACUUUUGGCACCGCCACCACCACCACCAAAAGAUAGCCUAGUUCUAGUUUUGAUUUGGCUAUCAGAUAAUCCUUCUCUCUCUUCUUUAUCAGAUUUCAAAACCAAAACGAAGAAGGAGCCCUCGUCAAAAUGACAAAACCUGAACUGAAGUCGCCAUCGAUCUCUCUCUCUCUCUCUCUUGGGCACAGGCCUUCUCCCUCUCAACCUCUCUCCUCGACGGUUCGAUUUCUUUUACAACAAAAAGAAUGACUAGAGCUUUUGGGAACCCAUUAAUCUGACACAAGUUAAUUGAGGCUAUCCAGUUCAAAAGAUAAACAAGCUCAAGCGCUCUGGUUUUGUUAACUGGAAGCUGAAGAAUUUGAAUGACUUUUACGUGCUGACACAUGCAAGAGCUUGGUGCACAUCUUCUUUGCUCAAUGUGGAACAUCAAAGACUUCGAGUUUUACGAACUCCAAAGACAUUAGAGUUGAAGGACUAAUGUCACUGAACAGCCAAAUGUUUCACAUUGUGAUAAACGGCUGCCAAGAUGUACUGAUUCAAGGCGUCAAAGUCAUUGCUGCUGGAAAUAGCCCAAACACUGAUAGUAUCCAUGUCCAGUUUUCCAGAAAUGUUGCAAUCUUCGGCACCUCCAUCAAAACUGGGGACGAUUGUGUCUCUAUGUUCCAUUGAUCUUUAGCCUUCGGCCCUGCAAUUUAGAAAAUGUGGAAAGGUUAUUUUAGAUGUGUGAUGUCCUGAUAGUCCAAGAGGCAGUGUUGAAACUGAAGGGCCAGAUUUGGAAAUGGCAGAAACGAAGUUCCCAUUUUAUAGUGACUACUGAUCGACAGUUUCAUAUAUAAUAUGAUACUUGAGACAAAUGAAGUGCUACAUACCCAUGUCACUUUUCAUUUUUUGUCUAAUAAUUGGGAUCGCUAUGGCAAUUACAAUGGUGCCAGAAUGAAAAGGGCGAAGAUUGACCCAAGAUAUGAUAUGCCAAAUCAAAAUCAUUCAAUUCCCUCUCAAGUGAUUUUCUGCAAAAUCUAGUGCCCUGUUGUCAUUGUUAAUCAAAUAUUGAUUAUGUAUAUGCUUGUACUGGAGGUAAGCAUGGUCCCAUGGCUGACCAACAGGGGAAAUUUUUUGAUUUUAGAGUGCCAUUGCUUAUGACGUUUUGAAUUAGUGUCUUGUAACUUGGCCAGCAUGCUCUGUUUCUUUUCCAAAUGUAGUGAAUUUCUAUGCCAGUGCUUUGCUAAUGUUUGGCUGAAGAUAAACAAUGGAGGUACUAGCAUUGAAUUUCUACUUUCCACUUUUAUGUGCCAACUUCUGCAUCCUCUUUUGAUCAAAGGCUCAAAGCAUCUCUGGUUGUUAUGCAAUACUGCCAGCCUGCAACUGAAGGAGCAAUAAAGUCAUUGGCAAUAACUUCAGAGUUAUGAGGGGAAAACAGAUGGCAUAUGGCCAACAGUGUUGCACCUUCAUAUGGACCCGUGAGAUUCUUAAUUUCCAGUUUCCAGGUCAUCAGUUGCAUAUAUUUACUUCUAAUUAUGGAUGUAGGUUAUGGAGAGCACCUGUGGAUUCACUUACUCCCACAAUAGUAGACAUGCUCAGUGAAUAAGCUAAAGUAAAUCAAAGCAGGUCCUGAGCCUUUGUUCUCUGUUAAUUAUAUGCAGCAUCUCAGCAAGGAAAAUUUCUAUUCUAGGUCAGC